CCUCUCUCAGGAUCUCACCUGGAGAGUUCCCAGUACUCUACCAGUCUCGACUGUGAGAGGGACAGUCAAGCAGAGGCCUAGCCAUUCCAUUCCUAGCUCGGCCAGUGGCUAGCGAGUGGAAGGCAAGCUGUUAUAAGU
Molecule: small nucleolar RNA, 138 nt
Organism: Ornithorhynchus anatinus (platypus)
Lineage: Eukaryota; Metazoa; Chordata; Mammalia; Monotremata; Ornithorhynchidae
Source: RefSeq, a predicted model, not a curated record